AUUGAACGCUGGCGGCAUGCCUUACACAUGCAAGUCGAACGGCAGCGCGGACUUCGGUCUGGCGGCGAGUGGCGAACGGGUGAGUAAUACAUCGGAACGUACCCUGUUGUGGGGGAUAACUAGUCGAAAGAUUAGCUAAUACCGCAUACGACCUGAGGGUGAAAGUGGGGGACCGCAAGGCCUCACGCAGCAGGAGCGGCCGAUGUCUGAUUAGCUAGUUGGUGGGGUAAAGGCCCACCAAGGCGACGAUCAGUAGCUAGUCUGAGAGGACGAUCAGCCACACUGGGAGUGAGACACGGCCCAGACUCCUACGGGAGGCAGCAGUGGGGAAUUUUGGACAAUGGGGGCAACCCUGAUCCAGCAAUGCCGCGUGUGUGAAGAAGGCCUUCGGGUUGUAAAGCACUUUUGUCCGGAAAGAAAUCGCGCUGGUUAAUACCUGGCGUGGAUGACGGUACCGGAAGAAUAAGCACCGGCUAACUACGUG
Molecule: ribosomal RNA, 484 nt
Filed under: uncultured bacterium
Lineage: Bacteria
Description: partial 16S ribosomal RNA
Rfam family: Bacterial small subunit ribosomal RNA
Source: RNAcentral